GCCUGGGUGGCUCAGUGGUUGAGCAUCUGCCUUCAGCCCAGGGCAUGAUCCUGAAGACCUGGGAUCGAGUCCCACAUCGGGCU
Non-coding RNA from Canis lupus familiaris (dog), 83 nucleotides. NCBI's taxonomy places the organism in Eukaryota, Metazoa, Chordata, Mammalia, Carnivora, Canidae. The record is from Rfam.